UACAGAGACCUCAAGCGUUAUCCGGAAUCAUUGGGCGUAAAGCGUACCGAUAGGUGGUUUUGAUAGUUUUGGGUAAAAGCCAGAAGCUCAACUUCUGCGUUUGCUCAAAAUACUUCAAGACUAGAGGGACAAAGAGGUGGCUGGAACGAAUGGUGUAGUAGUGAAAUGCGUUGAUAUCAUUCGGAACACCGAAAGCGAAGGCAGGCCACUGGGUGUCACCUGACACUGCUAGGACGAAAGCGUGGGGAGCGAAUGGG
RNAcentral lists this ribosomal RNA (257 nucleotides) under uncultured bacterium. Its description in RNAcentral is "partial 16S ribosomal RNA". It matches the Rfam family "Bacterial small subunit ribosomal RNA", at positions 524 to 776 of the family's 1533-position model. The record is from RNAcentral.